RNAcentral lists this ribosomal RNA (468 nucleotides) under uncultured bacterium. RNAcentral's name for it is "partial 16S ribosomal RNA". It matches the Rfam family "Bacterial small subunit ribosomal RNA", at positions 28 to 507 of the family's 1533-position model. The record is from RNAcentral.
GACGAACGCUGGCGGCGUGCUUAACACAUGCAAGUCGAACGGAAAGGCCCUGCUUUUGUGGGGUGCUCGAGUGGCGAACGGGUGAGUAACACGUGAGUAACCUGCCCUUGACUUUGGGAUAACUUCAGGAAACUGGGGCUAAUACCGGAUAGGAGCUCCUGCUGCAUGGUGGGGGUUGGAAAGUUUCGGCGGUUGGGGAUGGACUCGCGGCUUAUCAGCUUGUUGGUGGGGUAGUGGCUUACCAAGGCUUUGACGGGUAGCCGGCCUGGGAGGGUGACCGGCCACAUGGGGACUGAGAGACGGCCCAGACGCCUACGGGAGGCAGAAGUGGGGAGUAUUGCACAAUGGGCGGAAGCCUGAUGCAGCAACGCCGCGUGCGGGAUGACGGCUUUCGGGUUGUAAACCGCUUUCGCCUGAGACGAAGCGGGAGUGACGGUAAUGAGUAAAGAAGCACCGGCUAACUACGUG